Non-coding RNA from Epinephelus lanceolatus (giant grouper), 518 nucleotides. The record is from RefSeq and is a predicted model, not a curated record. NCBI's taxonomy places the organism in Eukaryota, Metazoa, Chordata, Actinopteri, Perciformes, Serranidae.
AUAACUUUAACAUGUAUCUAAAGGUGAAGGGAAGUGGUACAGGAACAUUGACUACUAUCGCCUGGAUGGUUCCACCAAUGCCACCACCAGGAAGAAGUGGGCUGAAGAGUUUAAUGACACCAGUAACACAAGAGGUCGUUUGUUCCUCAUUUCAACACGAGCUGGCUCUCUUGGCAUCAACCUGGUGGCAGCUAACAGGGUCAUCAUCUUUGACGCCUCUUGGAACCCCUCCUACGACGUCCAAAGUAUCUUCAGGGUCUAUCGCUUUGGCCAGAUUAGGACUGUUUACGUGUACAGGUUCCUGGCCCAGGGUACAAUGGAGGAGAAGAUUUAUGACCGGCAGGUAACCAAGCAGUCUUUGUCAUUCCGAGUGGUGGACCAGCAGCAGAUUGAGAGGCACUUUACAACGAACGAGCUGGCCGAGCUCUACACCUUUGAACCAGACAUGCUGGAUGAUCCCUCAGGGAAGAAGAGCAAGAAAGCCACGCCCUUGCUUCCUAAGGUGAGAACUAUCAUGC